Molecule: long non-coding RNA, 763 nt
Filed under: Homo sapiens (human)
Lineage: Eukaryota; Metazoa; Chordata; Mammalia; Primates; Hominidae
Description: HSALNT0110026
Source: RNAcentral
CUGCCAGUCCCGCGCCAUGCGCAUGCACUCCUCAGCCCUUAGGCGGAUGGGACCGGUUGCUGCGGCACAGGGGCGGUGCCCUUCAGGGAGGCGCGCAGGAGCCCAUCUUGGGGGAGCUGGAGCAUGGCGGGCUGCAGGUCCCAGCCCUACCCCAUGGGGAGGCGGCUGAGGCCCAGCGAGAAUUCGAGCACUGCGCACGAGGGACGGCAGUGCUGGGGGACCGGGCGCCCCCUCCGCAGCUGCUGGCCUGGGUGCUAAGCCCCUCACUGCCCGGGGCUGGCGGCGACGGAGGGCGGCUCCGAGUGAGUGCGGGGCGCGGAGCCCCACGCCCACCCGGAACUCACGCUGGCCCGCGAACGCUGCGCGCAGCCCCAGUUCCCGCCUGCGUCUCUGCCUCCACACCUCCACGUAAGCAGAGGGGGCCAGCUCCAACCUUGGCCAGCCCAGAGAGGGGCGUCCCACAGUGCAGCGGCGGGCUGAAGGGCUCCUCAAGCCUGACCAGAGCGGACGCCGAGGCCGAGGAGGCGCUGAGAAGGAGCGAGGGCCGCCAGCACGUUGUCACCUCUCAAGAGUAUAGGGAGAGUAUCUCUGGAAUGAAGGCUUUUUAACCUGUUGCAGGGAAGAAGGGCAAUGGAAGGUUUGAAGGGGAGAGAGUACAGAAGAGACAAUGAUAUUGAAAAGACCUUUGUAAACAUUUUGCUUACAUGGUUUUCUGACCCUGGAAAAUAAUCCCUGCAUAUGAAAUGAAACAGACAUUUUUCUA